Molecule: ribosomal RNA, 113 nt
Filed under: Solanum tuberosum (potato)
Lineage: Eukaryota; Viridiplantae; Streptophyta; Magnoliopsida; Solanales; Solanaceae
Source: RNAcentral
GGAUGCGAUCAUACCAGCACUAACGCACCGGAUCCCAUCAGAACUCCGAAGUUAAGCGUGCUUGGGCGAGAGUAGUACUUCCGUGUAAGUGAAAAAAAAUUAUUAUUUAUUUU